CGGGAAUCCUAGUGUGCUGGG
RNAcentral lists this non-coding RNA (21 nucleotides) under Mus musculus (house mouse). Lineage: Eukaryota; Metazoa; Chordata; Mammalia; Rodentia; Muridae. The record is from RNAcentral.